Molecule: unclassified non-coding RNA, 432 nt
Filed under: Hevea brasiliensis (rubber tree)
Lineage: Eukaryota; Viridiplantae; Streptophyta; Magnoliopsida; Malpighiales; Euphorbiaceae
Source: RNAcentral
UUUCUGCAACACAGUUUUGCGGGUCUCGAGCACUCUCAAAAGUUGAACUUUUGAAUUCUCCUCCUGCGUAGCGCAUCCAGUGGAAUCUGAUGGAUUUGGAAAUGAGCCAGGCUUAUAAAGAACUAUUGCAUUCUCCGUAUCAGUAUCAGGCAUAGCCUUGCUACCUUCGAUAGAUUUCUGCGACCGUAUCGUUUGAUGGUGAUCUUCAGCCAUGACACUCUCAUUACCCUGAACGGUAAUUGCUUCCCCAAUUUGCAACAUCUCAGACUCGAUCGUGCUCACACGUUCAAGAACCUCCGGCGUGCUCACGAAUCGAACGAAUCUUUCGACAGUGCCCUUUGUGAACCAUGGUGCAUGUUCGGCUCGCGGACCUGGUUCGAGGGUGAUUGAAUAUCCUCCCUUGGAGAUCUGAUCCUGGGCAGCUUUGAGAUG